Long non-coding RNA from Haliotis rubra (blacklip abalone), 204 nucleotides. RefSeq lists it as uncharacterized. NCBI's taxonomy places the organism in Eukaryota, Metazoa, Mollusca, Gastropoda, Lepetellida, Haliotidae. The record is from RefSeq and is a predicted model, not a curated record. The transcript is spliced from 3 exons.
GUCCUAUGUAAAGGUCAUCACCUUCACCCACAGCCAUGGUCCUAUGUAAAGGUCAUCACCUUCACCCACAGCCAUGGUCCUAUGUAAAGGUCAUCUCCUUCACCCACCCACAGCCAUGGUCCUAUGUAAAGGUCAUCACCUUCACCCUCCGCCAUGGUCCUAUGUAAAGGUCAUCACCUUCACCCACCCACAGCAAUGGUCCUA